AUGCAUAUGUGCAUAGCAAAGCAAUGGCCCAGUUACAUCAACAACAUACGUGUAUCAAGAAAUUCACUAGAAUUUAAUAAUUCAGAUAAUAUUAGAAAUUUCAGUCCAUACAGUAAAGCCUUAAAAAAGGAAAAAACGAGUUUCAAUUGGAACAUUCAGUUCAAUCUCAAUACAUUCAGACCAGGGCGGGUGAACACAAAUAAGAAAAGAUCAGAUCAUUUGAAAAUAGGACUAACGAUUAACGAAGUUUCUAACCACUUAACUAACUAA
This is a non-coding RNA of Vicia faba (fava bean), 270 nucleotides long. Lineage: Eukaryota; Viridiplantae; Streptophyta; Magnoliopsida; Fabales; Fabaceae. The record is from the annotation of a GenBank genome assembly.